This 253-nucleotide ribosomal RNA is filed under the name uncultured bacterium. Its description in RNAcentral is "partial 16S ribosomal RNA". It matches the Rfam family "Bacterial small subunit ribosomal RNA", at positions 524 to 776 of the family's 1533-position model. The record is from RNAcentral.
UACGUAAGGUGCAAGCGUUAAUCGGAAUUACUGGGCGUAAAGCGUGCGCAGGCGGUUUUGUAAGACAGGCGUGAAAUCCCCGGGCUCAACCUGGGAAUUGCGCUUGUGUCUGCAAAGCUGGAGUGCGGCAGAGGGGGAUGGAAUUCCGCGUGUAGCAGUGAAAUGCGUAGAUAUGCGGAGGAACACCGAUGGCGAAGGCAAUCCCCUGGGCCUGCACUGACGCUCAUGCACGAAAGCGUGGGGAGCAAACAGG